Non-coding RNA from Cordylochernes scorpioides, 74 nucleotides. The record is from the annotation of a GenBank genome assembly. Lineage: Eukaryota; Metazoa; Arthropoda; Arachnida; Pseudoscorpiones; Chernetidae.
UAUCGCACGUGGUCUAGUGGCUAGGAUAUCUGGCUUUCUCCCAGAAGGCCCGGAUUCGAAUCAUAGCGUGGUAU